This 438-nucleotide long non-coding RNA is filed under the name Dromaius novaehollandiae (emu). Its description in RNAcentral is "lncRNA (ENSDNVG00000000886.1)". Lineage: Eukaryota; Metazoa; Chordata; Aves; Casuariiformes; Dromaiidae. The record is from RNAcentral.
CUAGAUCAAGUAGUUGAUCUUUUUUUCUACAGAUCUUUGGGAGCCGAACGUGUAAGCAGCCAGCUAGUUAAAGAGAGAUUGAACAAGCAUUUGUCAGUACUGGUUUAGGUCUGAAGCAAGGUCCAGCUCAGCUGUUUCCUAUAAGAAAUGUUAUGACAUCUGAACAAACGCUCUUAAAAAGGUGUAUCUCUGGAAGGACAGAAAAUUAAACAAAAGAACAGAAUACACUCUGGAUUUUCUUCCUAUGUACAGUCUACACUGAUUGAAGUGCUGAAUCCACUCAUAGGACCAGCUUACUGUAAAUACUCCAUUUCAAUAGACUGCCAAAAGAACUGCAAAAUACUUCAAAGCCUGCUGAAGCAAGAAUCAAGUUUGGUUAUUUUCUGUUCCAUAAUGUUAUCUCUUGUGGACAGCUCAACCUAUAAGAAGUGAAUUUGU